This 401-nucleotide ribosomal RNA is filed under the name uncultured bacterium. RNAcentral's name for it is "bacterial SSU rRNA". It matches the Rfam family "Bacterial small subunit ribosomal RNA", at positions 356 to 774 of the family's 1533-position model. The record is from RNAcentral.
GGGGAAUAUUGCACAAUGGGCGAAAGCCUGAUGCAGCAACGCCGCGUGAGUGAUGAAGGCCUUCGGGUUGUAAAGCUCUGUCUUCUGGGACGAUAAUGACGGUACCAGAGGAAGAAGCCCCGGCUAACUACGUGCCAGCAGCCGCGGUAAUACGUAGGGGGCAAGCGUUAUCCGGAUUCAUUGGGCGUAAAGAGCGCGUAGGCGGCUUGUUAAGCGAGAUGUGAAAACCGGGGGCUUAACCCGCGGCCUGCAUCUCGAACUGGCAGGCUUGAGUCUGGUAGAGGAGUGUGGAAUUCCCAGUGUAGCGGUGAAAUGCGCAGAUAUUGGGAGGAACACCAGUGGCGAAGGCGGCACUCUGGGCCACGACUGACGCUGAGGCGCGAAAGCUAGGGGAGCAAACA